AGAGUUUGAUCAUGGCUCAGGAUGAACGCUGGCGGCGUGCCUCAUACAUGCAAGUCGAACGCUUUGUGCUUAAUUGAUAUGAUGAGCUUGCUCUGAUUUGAUUUUUUGAUUUCAAAGAGUGGCGAACGGGUGAGUAACACGUGGGUAACCUACCUCUUAGCAGGGGAUAACAUUUGGAAACAAGUGCUAAUACCGUAUAAUACCAACAACCGCAUGGUUGUUGGUUGAAAGAUGGUUCUGCUAUCACUAAGAGAUGGACCCGCGGUGCAUUAGCUAGUUGGUAAGGUAAUGGCUUACCAAGGCAAUGAUGCAUAGCCGAGUUGAGAGACUGAUCGGCCACAAUGGGACUGAGACACGGCCCAUACUCCUACGGGAGGCAGCAGUAGGGAAUCUUCCACAAUGGGCGCAAGCCUGAUGGAGCAACGCCGCGUGUGUGAUGAAGGGUUUCGGCUCGUAAAACACUGUUAUAAGAGAAGAACGGCACUGAGAGUAACUGUUCAGUGUGUGACGGUACCUUACCAGAAAGGAACGGCUAAAUACGUGCCAGCAGCCGCGGUAAUACGUAUGUUCCAAGCGUUACCCGGAUUUAUUGGGCGUAAAGCGAGCGCAGACGGUUAUUUAAGUCUGAAGUGAAAGCCCUCAGCUCAACUGAGGAAUUGCUUUGGAAACUGGAUGACUUGAGUGCAGUAGAGGAAAGUGGAACUCCAUGUGUAGCGGUGAAAUGCGUAGAUAUAUGGAAGAACACCAGUGGCGAAGGCGGCUUUCUGGACUGUAACUGACGUUGAGGCUCGAAAGUGUGGGUAGCUAUACAGGAUUAGAUACCUCUGGUAGUCCACACCGUAAACGAUGAGUGCUAGAUGUUCGAGGGUUUCCGC
This 875-nucleotide ribosomal RNA is filed under the name uncultured bacterium. Its description in RNAcentral is "bacterial SSU rRNA". It matches the Rfam family "Bacterial small subunit ribosomal RNA", at positions 8 to 837 of the family's 1533-position model. The record is from RNAcentral.